GAUGAACGCUGGCGGCGUGCCUAAUACAUGCAAGUCGAGCGAACGGACGAGAAGCUUGCUUCUCUGAUGUUAGCGGCGGACGGGUGAGUAACACGUGGAUAACCUACCUAUAAGACUGGGAUAACUUCGGGAAACCGGAGCUAAUACCGGAUAAUAUUUUGAACCGCAUGGUUCAAAAGUAAAAGACGGUCUUGCUGUCACUAAUAGAUGGAUCCGCGCUGCAUUAGCUAGUUGGUAAGGUAACGGCUUACCAAGGCAACGAUGCAUAGCCGACCUGAGAGGGUGGUCGGCCACACUGGAACUGAGACACGGCCCAGACUCCUGCGGGAGGACGCAGUAGGGAAUCUUACGCAAUGGGCGAAUGCCUGACGGUGCAACGCCGCGUGAGUGAUGAAGGUCUUAGGAUCGUAAAGCGCUGUUAUUAGGGAAGAACACAUGUGUAAGUAACUGUGAUGAUCUUGACGGUACCUAAUGAGAAAGCCACGGCUAACUACGUG
RNAcentral lists this ribosomal RNA (497 nucleotides) under uncultured bacterium. RNAcentral's name for it is "partial 16S ribosomal RNA". It matches the Rfam family "Bacterial small subunit ribosomal RNA", at positions 28 to 507 of the family's 1533-position model. The record is from RNAcentral.